UCCUACAUAUUUGGUUCCCACGAUGAUACUUCAUUCCCAUGAUCUCAAACCACGAUUUCUAACUCAUAUCCCACCAACUCUUCAGCGGGAAUUGUCAGUAACAUGAUUUCACAGCCUUUUGAAAUCAUUUUUCUACUUUUACAAUAAGUAACUCUUUCUCCCUUGUGCACAUCAAGCAGGAAUUCUGGAUAGAAGCUAUUAAGUCUUUUCCAUUAUAAGUUCACUGCACCAUGUUGUCAUAGAUGAUUUGGUACAUUAUAGAGGAGUUAAUGGCGGCUGAACGUAAUUUCAUUAGCGAAAUUAACAGCAAGUCAAUGAACUGGAAAAUGAAGGAAGAUCACAUUUACGCAAGUGUUGGCAUAUCUCUUAUCCAAAGGUUCAACCAACAAAUUAAGGAAAUAGAAGAUCAAUAGGAAAUAAAGGAUCCAUAUUUCAACAUGUGUAACUUCAAAGUUAGACCUAUGAAGCAGCUGUCAAAUUCACAAGAAUUUGACGACAGUGAAAUAUUCGGUAAUUAAAUCUUCUCAUUUUUUCCAGUUGUAUUUUAUUUUUCAUGAUCUGUUUUCUAUCUUUUGAGAACUAAACCAAUCCCAAUUAUAGUGUCAGAAAUCAAAGCUUAAGCUUUAAAUUAAAGUUGAAUGACUUAAUUUUGUUAGAUACUUGAGUAUUUAGGUGGACGGGUAGUUUUGCUUGUUGUAGCAUUAUCUCUUCUUCUUCUUCUUUUUUGUAAGUUAUUCCAUCCUCUGGAUCCUUUAUUAAGAAGAAAUAAGAUAAGAUACUUGGGAUCUAUUUAUUUUUCAAUACAAUCCCAAUUACAAUACCUUAUAUCAAAACUUAAGUUUCAGAAUAAAGCUGAAUUUCUUGAUUUUAUAGUUCAAUGUUCGAAUCAAUAUAGAUACAAUUACGGUCUUACAGACGAAAUUGGCGAGGGAUAUUAAAAGGACUAUCUGAUCUUUCUCUGCUGCUCGGGCCAUUUGAUUUUUCUAUACUGCUCUUCAUUGAUACUCUGUCAUUCAUACCAUGAAGUGAUGAAGCUAUAUAUACAGUAGCACAUCAGUAAAAAGAUUCAGCUAACUUCGACAGAUGAAUUACGAAAGAUAAAUACUUCAUCUAUUUGUCAAGUUGCUUUAUUUCAUGAGCGAACACAAAGAAGGUGAACAAUGAACUAUUAUUCAAUGUGACUUCUUUCCUUAUAAAUUGUACUCAAAUCUUGAUGUUUAAUUUUUUUUUAAUUGUUUAUAGGUCUUGGAUAGCACCAUACGUCUAAGCUAUCUUCACAACUACUGGGAAAAUUUCUUAGAAUAAUACUGUCAUUUGGUCUUGAUCAUACUUAGGCCCCAAUAUUAGCCCCAACGAAAUUCAUCUAUUUAUUUUUUAUUUUAAUUCAU
Molecule: long non-coding RNA, 1388 nt
Organism: Nicotiana tabacum (common tobacco)
Lineage: Eukaryota; Viridiplantae; Streptophyta; Magnoliopsida; Solanales; Solanaceae
Source: RefSeq, a predicted model, not a curated record